RNAcentral lists this ribosomal RNA (429 nucleotides) under uncultured bacterium. RNAcentral describes it as "bacterial SSU rRNA". It matches the Rfam family "Bacterial small subunit ribosomal RNA", at positions 355 to 776 of the family's 1533-position model. The record is from RNAcentral.
UGGGGAAUAUUGGACAAUGGGCGCAAGCCUGAUCCAGCAAUGCCGCGUGUGUGAAGAAGGCCUGCGGGUUGUAAAGCACUUUCAGUGGGGAGAACGAAGCUGUCAUUAAUACUGAUGGUGGAAGAUGUUACCCACAGAAGAAGCACCGGCUAACUCUGUGCCAGCAGCCGCGGUAAUACAGAGGGUGCGAGCGUUAAUCGGAAUUACUGGGCGUAAAGGGUGCGUAGGUGGUUGCGUAAGUUAGAUGUGAAAGUCCUGGGCUUAACCUGGGGAUUGCGUCUAAUACUGUGCGGCUAGAGUACUGUAGAGGAAAGUGGAAUUUCCGGUGUAGCGGUGAAAUGCGUAGAUAUCGGAAGGAACACCAGUGGCGAAGGCGACUUUCUGGACAGAUACUGACACUGAGGCACGAAAGCGUGGGGAGCAAACAGG